Molecule: ribosomal RNA, 253 nt
Filed under: uncultured bacterium
Lineage: Bacteria
Description: partial 16S ribosomal RNA
Rfam family: Bacterial small subunit ribosomal RNA
Source: RNAcentral
UACAGAGACUGCAAGCGUUAUUCGGAUUCACUGGGCGUAAAGGGUGCGAAGGCGGUCGGGUGUGUCAGAUGUGAAAUCCCGAGGCUCAACCUCGGAACUGCGUCUGAAACUACUCGACUAGAGUACUGGAGAGGGUAACGGAAUUCACGGUGUAGCAGUGAAAUGCGUAGAUAUCGUGAGGAACACCAGAGGCGAAGGCGGUUACCUGGACAGUUACUGACGCUCAGGCACGAAAGCAUGGGGAGCAAAAGGG